Schistocerca piceifrons (Central American locust) is the source of this 267-nucleotide long non-coding RNA. RefSeq lists it as uncharacterized. The transcript is spliced from 3 exons. The record is from RefSeq and is a predicted model, not a curated record. NCBI's taxonomy places the organism in Eukaryota, Metazoa, Arthropoda, Insecta, Orthoptera, Acrididae.
GUCAGUUGCCCUGCAGUGCGUACGUGAUCGCAGCGAAGGAGUUCUCAGCUAAAAUGAAAGUCUUCGAUUGGUUCGUCGCCUUUCUUCUUGUCAACGCACUCCAAGGUGCAGUACAGUUCCCUAUCAUUGACGAUACUGCUCCAUAUUUUGAUGACUUCCCAGGUGGCGAGUCCACAGAUGCAGUUCCGUUAGAUGUAUCCACUUCAGAUGAAACCACCUCAAGAAACACACUGGAACCGAAGUUCAGUGAACCUGUCGAUGGGCCAG